GAGGGCUUGUUCGGGAGCAGCCCUGCACAGAGGCAGGGGCGUGGCGUGGAGCCCGGUCAAGGGGCUGGCAGGUGCCCUGCCUCUCACCUCGGCGGGCGCCUGGUUCUCCCUCAGCCUCAGCAGCCACGGGGUCAAGCGUCUUCUCUACAAAACUCGUUCUCAAGUUAGGCGCCGCCUUCUGCCCGGAUCAGAACCCCCACACCCUGGCCCCCGGCUUAGCCUUGCUGGUCUGUCCUACUCAAGGGCUCCACAGCUGCGGAGGGGCACCUGGGCAGGGGCUUCCUGCCCAAGGAGUGAUCUCAUCACAAGCCUGGGCGCAGGCCCCAGGGGAGAGGGGCUGGGCUGCCUAGCUGCCGCUCGCAGUCUCCUCCCAAGGACCCUCAUCCUUCUGGUUCUUCCAGCUUUCUUGUCUUUUUCCGAAGCAAUAAACCUUCUGACAGCCUCUCAGGCUCUUCCCUUCCUCGGGCAGCCUCACGGGCACUCCUGGCUGGUGUGCACAGGAGGCUGGGCGAGGAGGGAGAAACUGAAUGGAGCGUUAACAGGCCAAGUGCAGCAAAAGGCGGGCGGCUGAAGAUUCAUUCCAGGGUUUGUCACUUGCCUGGGCUAGCCAAAGAUGACUAAGACAUCUUAUUACAAACCCCCAUGAGGAAAUUCAAGUUUUGGAAAAACUGCUCCACUCUGGGUGUGUCUACACCUGAGAUGUCCUGCAAUCCUCUCAACAGAUGGAGGCUGGCCUCCUGGCUCGGGCAGAGUCACACCCAGCUUUUUCAUCAUGUGGAAAGCAUACAACCCUUCUUGCCACCACUCCAUAC
Long non-coding RNA from Manis pentadactyla (Chinese pangolin), 812 nucleotides. RefSeq lists it as uncharacterized. The transcript is spliced from 4 exons. The record is from RefSeq and is a predicted model, not a curated record. NCBI's taxonomy places the organism in Eukaryota, Metazoa, Chordata, Mammalia, Pholidota, Manidae.